GGAAAUGUGGCUUAGUGGUUGAGUGUGUGCCUAGAAUGCAUGAAGCACUGGGUUCGAUUCCUCAGUACCA
This 70-nucleotide transfer RNA is filed under the name Dipodomys ordii (Ord's kangaroo rat). It matches the Rfam family "tRNA". From Rfam's summary of the family: Transfer RNA (tRNA) molecules are approximately 80 nucleotides in length. Lineage: Eukaryota; Metazoa; Chordata; Mammalia; Rodentia; Heteromyidae. The record is from Rfam by way of RNAcentral.